GUUCAUAAAUAUAGAUAAAAAGCACUAAAAAUCUUUAAAAACUGUUAAAUAUACCUUUUGUGAUUGCUUUUAGUGGCGGAUUAAACAACCAAUAGCUGGCACAGUCUGAUUUCAAAUCAGCCAAUGAGGUUGAUUGUCCCGCCCCUUAAAAUACGUUACUGAGAUUUUGCUCAGAUUGCGUCAGACACGCUUCAGAGCUCAGAGCUGACCGUUGCUGAAGAAUCUUGGAAAUCGCCCCAUUGUUUUGGUUCCUGGCGGGAUUUUUCUCUUCCAGCUAGUAGACAUUGGAGCAACACCAUGCCUGGAUCGCAUGAGUAAGUACUUUCUGCAUCAGUCUAUAGCCCUGUGAUGAGGCCUGCUGAGUCGGAGUUGGAAUAAAGUGUAGGAAGUUUCAGAUUGAACCUUUUUGAACCCAGAAAGAGCCGACCGCCAUGUGGUGUGUCGUCCGUUAUGCCAGAACCCACAAAAAUAUAUCUGAACUUAUCUGGCCAACCAGUGCAUGACAGGUGAACCCAAGGCAGCUCGAAAGGAGUAACUUGCUGCAGCCAAGAAGGUGGACACUGAAAGGCCGUCGGUGGGAUUACCAUCAGCUCUGCAGGUGAAGCCCGGAUACCGCAGGCAGGUACGGUCUUCUCCAACGACUCCAGGAGGACGAGUUCAUAGUUCUGAACCCGUCAGACGAGGAUGAGCUGUCGAGAUUGAGGAGCAGCUGCAGCAGUUGCCCACAAGCCUGCCCGCUCCUUCAGGCAGAGGAGCCAAUAGUCCCCGCCGUGUAGGAGUCUGUCGUUGUCCCAGUCAGGAAGCAAGGACCAAGAGCAAUUGGGAAGCUCGCAGAGCUCCCGGACUCAGCAGGGGGCCCGCAAGUCCAUAAAGGAGAUGGGACUGUACAAGAAAGCGGCCUCUGACAACCCCCUUCUCCAGCGCUACAAGGCCCACUUAAAAGGCAAAUUAAAAAUAAGAAACGCCAAACAAUAGAUGGCAAUCGUGUGUUGAUGGGUGAAGUUCCUGGUUCCAGAUGCCGCUCAGGUGACGGCGGGCUUUAUUAAGACAGAACAGAAGAUGGGGGAGUAUGUGAAGAAGCUGAAGGUGGCCAAGCUGAGGACGGCCACUGUCAGCCAGGUGUUGUCCAACAUGGUGCGUUUCACCGACUUCUUCGCCAAAGGGCAGUGGAGAAGCAAGGAGACUUAGUGUGCGACGCUUUCACCCAGGCACUCAGGUUCACCAUCAAGACACUCAGGAACGAGGACAAACGGAGCAAAAGGCAAGCGAGCGAAAAGCUCCAGACUGACGGCUUGAUGUCAGUCUGGAGCUUUCUUCUGCAGCCUAUCCCCAGAUAAAGUAAGGCCCGAGAAACUGAAACCGGAGUUUCUCGCCCUGUCCAGAGUCAAGAGGCUGCUUUGAGAGAGCAGCUAUAAUUCAGCUGAAAAAAAAACCUUAUUUCAAGCACAGAUUUUGCCAUCUAUAAGAAAAGACAGAGCAAACUGGACUUCUAGAGGAAGCUAAGAUCCUUCAAGGUUUGCACCAAGAUGCUGCAGAUCUUCUAUAAAUCUGUUGCUGAGAGCGUCAUUUCUUAUGCUGUCAUCUGCUUGGGCAUCAGCGUCAGAGCCAAGGACCUAAAAAGGCUCGACAGCCUGAUAAAGAAGACGGGUUCUGUUCUGGUUCUGUGGAACCUCUGCAGAUGAUUAUGCAAAGAAGGAUUUUUCAUAAAAUCAAGAAAAUUACGGACAACCCUGACCAUCGUCUUCAUGAGACUCUUAGGAAGGCAGAGCAUCUUCAGCCAGAGGCUUCUUCAGAUUUACUGUAACACAGACUGCUGCAGGAGAUCUUUCCUGCCAACAGCCAUUACAAUC
This is a long non-coding RNA of Poecilia latipinna (sailfin molly), 1850 nucleotides long. RefSeq lists it as uncharacterized. The transcript has 5 exons. The record is from RefSeq and is a predicted model, not a curated record. Lineage: Eukaryota; Metazoa; Chordata; Actinopteri; Cyprinodontiformes; Poeciliidae.